AUCUAUCACAACAUACACUCAUUUGGUAAUAGUCGCUCCGAUCCAAAGCAUCUGGAGUUGUACUUCUACAAUGAUGAUCCAAGCUUAGAGCAUCGGUACCGCCGCUGCCGCGAGGAAAUGUAUGAGCAAGACAGGCAGGUGAUUGGAAUCAUAACUGACAUUCUACGCGAUAACCCAUACUCUCAACAGUUCAGGAGUUUGGGACAAGCCCAAAACCUCGAGGAUUACAGACUUAUCUUGAACGUUGACCAAAGAUUGGACCAGAGAACAUACAACGCACCAAUCAAUUCGAAGGUAGCUGCAGUGUGGAUUGAAGGAAAUCAAAGAAGAGAUACUUAUGACAGGAAUGUAAUACUUCAUGGGAACAACAACGAAAUAGAGCACAUUAGAUCAUAUUACGGGUGCUACGACCCGUUAUCAUAUCCUCUAUUCUUUCCAAGAGCUGAACUCGGUUGGCAUAGGAAAAUCCCAAAGAAGGAUACACAAGAGGAAGAUGUUGAUGAUGAAAAUAUCAGUAAUGACGAUGACCCAGGUAAUUGUAUUCAAAAUUAA
Molecule: ribosomal RNA, 552 nt
Filed under: Triticum aestivum (bread wheat)
Lineage: Eukaryota; Viridiplantae; Streptophyta; Magnoliopsida; Poales; Poaceae
Description: partial small subunit ribosomal RNA
Source: RNAcentral